GGCCAGGCUGCACGGAAAGUGGGUGGCAUUUGCAUGGUGCCUCGCUAAAGCUGUCCAUCUUCUUCUGUAUGACUCUAUACAAGCGUGAACCCUGAGAACUGAGAGAGCCCCAUCUUCCUGCAGGAUGAGGGUCCCAGGGCCGGCUGACCUGACCUGCUGACCUGUUCCACUGUCAGUAGGAGGGGUGUGAAGGGGGAGGGGGGCUCUGAAGUUCACACUUUGGCCACUCUCCUUAAAACCAAUACUUUAUUAGAUUAUAGCCAUUGUUACGGUGGACAUUUUGAUCAGUUUUUUUUUUUUUCAACUUUUGCACGAAAUAUAAAAGUUCAAUUCACCAUCAUUUUUUAUUUGUUUGAACAAAAUACUUUUGCAACAAAUCGCCAUGCUUACUUUGAUUUUUCACUUUGUACAUGCAGGAAUACGCAAUGUAUGCACAGACUGCCACCAGUGUUCAAUAACCUAAACAUACACUACCGUUCAAAAGUUUGGGGUCACUUAGAAAUGUCCUUGUUUUCGAAAGA
Molecule: long non-coding RNA, 521 nt
Organism: Coregonus clupeaformis (lake whitefish)
Lineage: Eukaryota; Metazoa; Chordata; Actinopteri; Salmoniformes; Salmonidae
Exons: 3
Source: RefSeq, a predicted model, not a curated record